Molecule: long non-coding RNA, 384 nt
Filed under: Cyanistes caeruleus (blue tit)
Lineage: Eukaryota; Metazoa; Chordata; Aves; Passeriformes; Paridae
Description: lncRNA (ENSCCEG00000019305.1)
Source: RNAcentral
CUGCGCUUCCUUUAGCUCCACAGGCUUGCUGAAGUUCCUCAGAUGUUGUGGCGGAGAUGAAUUAUAUCUUGUCACUCCCUCUCUGUGACUGUGUAAUGGAUAUCUAAAUCCUGAUAUUCCAUCAACAAGUAGAAAGCACAGAUGAGAGGGAAACACCAAAUAAUUGAAGGAAUUCAGCACACUUUCCUGCUAAGGAAAUGUCACUGUUCCCUCAUCAUUUGCUGUAUAGAAUGUUUAUCUGGAUUCAUGAAAUCAAAUUUCAGUCCUGAAACUUUGAUAAACUAUAUUAAAUCAAUGUGCAAAGAUCAUCAUAAACACCUCAGGUAUGCCCUUUUAAGUCAAUCUUUAUGUUACCUAAAACUAAAGGCAGAUGCAGAGGGAUAA